This 459-nucleotide ribosomal RNA is filed under the name uncultured bacterium. RNAcentral's name for it is "bacterial SSU rRNA". It matches the Rfam family "Bacterial small subunit ribosomal RNA", at positions 328 to 802 of the family's 1533-position model. The record is from RNAcentral.
AUGAAACACUCCUACGGGAGGCAGCAGUGGGGAAUAUUGCACAAUGGGCGAAAGCCUGAUGCAGCAACGCCGCGUGAGCGAAGAAGGCCUUUGGGUCGUAAAGCUCUGUUGAGAGGGAAGAAAAAAUGACGGUACCUCUUGAGGAAGCCCCGGCUAACUACGUGCCAGCAGCCGCGGUAAUACGUAGGGGGCGAGCGUUAUCCGGAUUUACUGGGCGUAAAGGGUGCGUAGGUGGUCCUUCAAGUCGGUGGUUAAAGGCUACGGCUCAACCGUAGUAAGCCGCCGAAACUGGAGGACUUGAGUGCAGGAGAGGAAAGUGGAAUUCCCAGUGUAGCGGUGAAAUGCGUAGAUAUUGGGAGGAACACCAGUAGCGAAGGCGGCUUUCUGGACUGCAACUGACACUGAGGCACGAAAACGUGGGUAGCAAACAGGAUUAGAAACCCCGGUAGUCCGAAGUUC